CCUACGGGAGGCUGCAGUAGGGAAUUUUCGGCAAUGGGGGGAACCCUGACCGAGCAACGCCGCGUGAACGAAGAAGUUAUUCGUAAUGUAAAGUUCUUUUAACAGGGAAGAAAGAGAAAUUUGACGGUACCUUAAGCAUAUGCUCUGGCUAACUACGUGACAGCAGUCGCGGUAAUCCGUAGGGAGCGAGCGUUAUCCGGAAUUAUUGGGCGGAAAGGGUGCGUAGAUGGCAUAGUAAGUCUUUUGUAAAAAUGCUGGGCUCAACCCAGUAGGGCAAAAGAUACUGUAAAGCUAGAGUAUGACUGAGGCAAGUGGAACUACAUGUGGAGCGGUAAAAUGCGUAAAUAUAUGUAAGAACACCAGUGGCGAAGGCGGCUUGCUGAGUCGUUACUGACAUUGAGGCACGAAAGCGUGGGGAGCAAACAGGAUUAGAUACCCGAGUAGUC
Molecule: ribosomal RNA, 446 nt
Filed under: uncultured bacterium
Lineage: Bacteria
Description: partial 16S ribosomal RNA
Rfam family: Bacterial small subunit ribosomal RNA
Source: RNAcentral